RNAcentral lists this ribosomal RNA (260 nucleotides) under uncultured bacterium. RNAcentral's name for it is "partial 16S ribosomal RNA". It matches the Rfam family "Bacterial small subunit ribosomal RNA", at positions 95 to 353 of the family's 1533-position model. The record is from RNAcentral.
GCGGCGGACGGGUGAGUAACGCGUGGGUAACCUGCCCUGUACACACGGAUAACAUACCGAAAGGUAUGCUAAUACGGGAUAAUAUAAGAAAUUCGCAUGUUUUUCUUAUCAAAGCUCCGGCGGUACAGGAUGGACCCGCGUCUGAUUAGCUAGUUGGUGAGGUAAUGGCUCACCAAGGCGACGAUCAGUAGCCGACCUGAGAGGGUGAUCGGCCACAUUGGAACUGAGACACGGUCCAAACUCCUACGGGAGGCAGCAUG